GAUGAACGCUGGCGGCGUGCCUAAUACAUGCGAGUCGAGCGAACAGACGAGGAGCUUGCUCCUCUGACGUUAGCGGCGGACGGGUGAGUAACACGUGGAUAACCUACCUAUAAGACUGGGAUAACUUCGGGAAACCGGAGCUAAUACCGGAUAAUAUAUUGAACCGCAUGGUUCAAUAGUGAAAGACGGUUUUGCUGUCACUUAUAGAUGGAUCCGCGCCGCAUUAGCUAGUUGGUAAGGUAACGGCUUACCAAGGCGACGAUGCGUAGCCGACCUGAGAGGGUGAUCGGCCACACUGGAACUGAGACACGGUCCAGACUCCUACGGGAGGCAGCAGUAGGGAAUCUUCCGCAAUGGGCGAAAGCCUGACGGAGCAACGCCGCGUGAGUGAUGAAGGUCCUCGGAUCGUAAAACUCUGUUAUUAGGGAAGAACAAAUGUGUAAGUAACUAUGCACGUCUUGACGGUACCUAAUCAGAAAGCCACGGCUAACUACGUG
RNAcentral lists this ribosomal RNA (497 nucleotides) under uncultured bacterium. Its description in RNAcentral is "partial 16S ribosomal RNA". It matches the Rfam family "Bacterial small subunit ribosomal RNA", at positions 28 to 507 of the family's 1533-position model. The record is from RNAcentral.